Molecule: ribosomal RNA, 467 nt
Filed under: uncultured bacterium
Lineage: Bacteria
Description: partial 16S ribosomal RNA
Rfam family: Bacterial small subunit ribosomal RNA
Source: RNAcentral
GACGAACGCUGGCGGCGUGCUUAACACAUGCAAGUCAGGGGGCGGGGUAACCCGUCACCGGCGAACGGGUGCGGAACACGUGAGCGACCUGCCCUGGUGUGGGGGAUAGCCGGCCCAACGGCCGGGUAAUACCGCAUACGGCGCCCGCUUGGAAGCUGGAGGCGCAACUCGCAAGAUGCUCUAGGAGGGGCUCGCGGCCUAUCAGCUAGUUGGCGCGGUAACGUCGCACCAAGGCGAUGACGGGUAGCUGGUCUGAGAGGAUGGCCAGCAACAUUGGGACUGAGAGACGGCCCAGACUACUACGGGAGGGAGAAGUGGCGAAUAUUGCGCAAUGGGUGACAGCCUGACGCCGCGACGCCGAGUGGAGGAUGAGGACCUUCGGGGUGUAAACUUCUGUUGCCAGGGACGAAUGCCCAGCAACGGAGGGGUUGACGGUACCGGGUGAGGAAGCAACGGCUAACUCUGUG